Molecule: ribosomal RNA, 717 nt
Filed under: Shewanella sp. MAR_280_P06_2010-01-20
Lineage: Bacteria; Pseudomonadati; Pseudomonadota; Gammaproteobacteria; Alteromonadales; Shewanellaceae
Description: bacterial SSU rRNA
Rfam family: Bacterial small subunit ribosomal RNA
Source: RNAcentral
UCAGAUUGAACGCGGCGGCAGGCCUAACACAUGCAAGUCGAGCGGUAACAGGAAUUAGCUUGCUAAUUUGCUGACGAGCGGCGGACGGGUGAGUAAUGCCUAGGGAACUGCCCAGUCGAGGGGGAUAACAGUUGGAAACGACUGCUAAUACCGCAUACGCCCUACGGGGGAAAAGAGGGGACCUUCGGGCCUUCUGCGAUUGGAUGUACCUAGGUGGGAUUAGCUAGUUGGUGAGGUAAUGGCUCACCAAGGCGACGAUCCCUAGCUGUUUGAGAGGAUGAUCAGCCACACUGGGACUGAGACACGGCCCAGACUCCUACGGGAGGCAGCAGUGGGGAAUAUUGCACAAUGGGCGCAAGCCUGAUGCAGCCAUGCCGCGUGUGUGAAGAAGCUUCGGGUUGUAAAGCACUUUCAGCGAGGAGGAAAGAAUAGCGUUUAGGUGUGACGUUACUCGCAGAAGAAGGACCGGCUAACUUCGUGCCAGCAGCCGCGGUAAUACGAGGGGUCAACGUUAAUCGGAAUUACUGGGCGUAAAGCGUACGCAGGCGGUUUGUUAAGCGAGAUGUGAAAGCCCCGGGCUCAACCUGGGAACUGCAUUUCGAACUGGCAAACUAGAGUCUGUAGAGGGGGGUAGAAUUUCAGGUGUAGCGGUGAAAUGAAGAUCUGAAGGAAUACCGGUGGCGAAGGCGGCCCCCUGGACAAAGACUGACGCUCAUG